This 492-nucleotide ribosomal RNA is filed under the name Triticum aestivum (bread wheat). RNAcentral describes it as "partial small subunit ribosomal RNA". Lineage: Eukaryota; Viridiplantae; Streptophyta; Magnoliopsida; Poales; Poaceae. The record is from RNAcentral.
AUGUUCGCGCUGGCCAUAGUCAUGGCCGUGGUGGCCGGUGUCUCGGCGCAGAACACCCUGCAGGACUUCGUCAACCGGCACAACCGCGCCCGCGCCGCGGACGGCGUCGGCCCGGUGACAUGGACAACAGCGUGGCCAGGGUCGCGCAGGACUACGCGAACAAGCGCGCCGCCGACUGCCGGCUGCAGCACUCGGCGGGCCGUUCGGCGAGAACAUCUUCUGGGGUUCCGGGCAGUCGUGGACGGCCUCGAACGCCGUGAAGUCGUGGGUGGACGAGAAGCGGAACUACCACCUCAACACCAACACCUGCAACGCCGGCAAGGUGUGCGGGCACACGCAGGUGGUGUGGCGCAAGUCGACCCGCAUCGGCUGCGCGCGCGUGGUCUGCGCCGGGAACCGGGGCGUCUUCACACCUGCAACUACAACCCCCCGGGCAACUUCAACGGCGAGCGCCCGUUCGCGUUCCUCACCCUUGACGCCGAAGCCAAGUGA